UACAGAGGUCUCAAGCGUUGUUCGGAUUCAUUGGGCGUAAAGGGUGCGUAGGCGGCGGGGCAAGUCAGGUGUGAAAUCCCGGAGCUCAACUCCGGAACUGCACUUGAUACUGCCUUGCUAGAGUACUGGAGAGGAGACUGGAAUUUACGGUGUAGCAGUGAAAUGCGUAGAUAUCGUAAGGAAGACCAGUGGCGAAGGCGAGUCUCUGGACAGCAUCUGACACUGAGGCACGAAGGCCAGGGGAGCAAACGGG
Molecule: ribosomal RNA, 253 nt
Filed under: uncultured bacterium
Lineage: Bacteria
Description: partial 16S ribosomal RNA
Rfam family: Bacterial small subunit ribosomal RNA
Source: RNAcentral